AAAGAAACCAACAGGGAUUGCCUCAGUAACGGCGAGUGAAGCGGCAAAAGCUCAAAUUUGAAAUCUGGCCCUUUCAGGGUCCGAGUUGUAAUUUGCAGAGGAUGCUUCGGGAGCGGCGGCAGUCUAAGUCCCCUGGAACGGGGCGUCAUAGAGGGUGAGAAUCCCGUCUUGGACCGCAUGCCCGUGACCGUGUGAAGCUCCUUCGACGAGUCGAGUUGUUUGGGAAUGCAGCUCUAAAUGGGUGGUAAAUUUCAUCUAAAGCUAAAUACUGGCUGGAGACCGAUAGCGCACAAGUAGAGUGAUCGAAAGGUUAAAAGCACCUUGAAAAGGGAGUUAAAUAGCACGUGAAAUUGUUGAAAGGGAAGCGCUUGCAACCAGACUCGGCCGCAGAGGCUCAGUGGGCACGUGUGCCCAUGCACUCCUCUGUGGUCGGGCCAGCAUCAGUUCUGACGGCCGGUCAAAGGCCCCCGGAAUGUAUCCUCCUCCGGGAGGUCUUAUAGCCGGGGGUGCAAUGCGGCCAGUCGGGACUGAGGAACGCGCUUCGGCACGGAUGCUGGCGU
RNAcentral lists this ribosomal RNA (560 nucleotides) under Gymnascella aurantiaca. RNAcentral describes it as "eukaryotic LSU rRNA". It matches the Rfam family "Eukaryotic large subunit ribosomal RNA", at positions 58 to 632 of the family's 3401-position model. The record is from RNAcentral. Lineage: Eukaryota; Fungi; Ascomycota; Eurotiomycetes; Onygenales; Gymnoascaceae.